GAUCCUGGCUUAGAACGAACGCUGGCGGCAGGUCUUAGGCAUGCAAGUCGAACGGGUGUAGCAAUACAUCAGUGGCGCACGAGUGAGUAACGCGUGGGAAGCUACCCAUCACGUGGGGAAUAACGUUUGGAAACGAACGCUAAUACCGCAUACGCCCGGAAAGGGGAAAGAUUUAUCGGUGAUGGAUGUCGCCCGCGUUGGAUUAGCUUGUUGGUGGGGUAACGGCCUACCAAGGCGAUGAUCCAUAGCUGGUCUGAGAGGACGAUCAGCCACGCUGGGACUGAGACACGGCCCAGACUCCUACGGGAGGCAGCAGCUAAGAAUAUUGGACAAUGGGGGAAACCCUGAUCCAAGCCAUGCCGCGUGAAUGAAGAAGGCCUUCGGGUUGUAAAGUUCUUUUAGUAGUGAAGAUGAUGACAGUAGCUACAGAAAAAGCACCGGCUAACUUCGUGCCAGCCGCCGC
This 463-nucleotide ribosomal RNA is filed under the name uncultured bacterium. RNAcentral's name for it is "bacterial SSU rRNA". It matches the Rfam family "Bacterial small subunit ribosomal RNA", at positions 15 to 518 of the family's 1533-position model. The record is from RNAcentral.